RNAcentral lists this ribosomal RNA (391 nucleotides) under uncultured bacterium. RNAcentral's name for it is "bacterial SSU rRNA". It matches the Rfam family "Bacterial small subunit ribosomal RNA", at positions 29 to 426 of the family's 1533-position model. The record is from RNAcentral.
AUUGAACGCUGGCGGCAUGCCUUACACAUGCAAGUCGAACGGCAGCGGACCUUCGGGUGCCGGCGAGUGGCGAACGGGUGAGUAAUAUAUCGGAACGUGCCCAAUCGUGGGGGAUAACGUAGCGAAAGUUACGCUAAUACCGCAUAAGCCCUGAGGGGGAAAGUGGGGGACCGCAAGGCCUCACGCGAAUGGAGCGGCCGAUGUCAGAUUAGCUAGUUGGCGGGGUAAAGGCCCACCAAGGCGACGAUCCGUAGCUGGUCUGAGAGGAUGAUCAGCCACACUGGAACUGAGACACGGUCCAGACUCCUACGGGAGGCAGCAGUGGGGAUAUUGGACAAUGGGGGCAACCCUGAUCCAGCCAUGCCGCGUGUGUGAAGAAGGCCUCGGUUGU